Molecule: ribosomal RNA, 305 nt
Filed under: uncultured bacterium
Lineage: Bacteria
Description: bacterial SSU rRNA
Rfam family: Bacterial small subunit ribosomal RNA
Source: RNAcentral
AUGUCCUACGGGGCGCAGCAGUGGGGGAUAUUGGACAAUGGGGGAAACCCUGAUCCAGCGAUGCCGCGUGAGGGAAGAAGGUUUUCGGAUUGUAAACCUCUGUGGAGGGGGACGAUAAUGACGGUACCCCUUUAGGAAGCCACGGCUAACUACGUGCCAGCAGCCGCGGUAAUACGUAGGUGGCGAGCGUUAUCCGGAAUUAUUGGGUGUAAAGGGUGCGUAGACGGAAGAACAAGUUGGUUGUGAAAUCCCUCGGCUCAACUGAGGAACUGCAACCAAAACUAUUCUCCUUGAGUGUCGGAGAG